This 745-nucleotide ribosomal RNA is filed under the name uncultured Spiroplasma sp. Its description in RNAcentral is "bacterial SSU rRNA". It matches the Rfam family "Bacterial small subunit ribosomal RNA", at positions 9 to 751 of the family's 1533-position model. Lineage: Bacteria; Bacillati; Mycoplasmatota; Mollicutes; Entomoplasmatales; Spiroplasmataceae. The record is from RNAcentral.
GAGUUUGAUCAUGGCUCAGGAUUAACGCUGGCGGCAUGCCUAAUACAUGCAAGUCGAACGGAGUAGCAAUACUUAGUGGCGAACGGGUGAGUAACACGUAUCUAAUCUACCAUUUAGUGGGGAAUAACUGUUGGAAACGACAGCUAAUACCGCAUAAUAUUGCUGGAUAAUUUCCAGUAAUGAAAGGAGCUUUCAAGCUCCGCUGAUUGAUGAGGAUGCGGCGCAUUAGCUAGUUGGUAGGGUAAUGGCCUACCAAGGCAAUGAUGCGUAGCCGAUCUGAGAGGAUGAACGGCCACAUUGGGACUGAGACACGGCCCAAACUUCUACGGAAGGCAGCAGUAGGGAAUUUUUCACAAUGGGCGAAAGCCUGAUGGAGCAAUGCCGCGUGACUGAUGAAGGUCUUCGGAUUGUAAAGGUCUGUUGUAAGGGAAGAAAUGGUAAAACAGGAAAUGGUUUUAUCUAUGACGGUACCUUACCAGAAAGCCACGGCUAACUAUGUGCCAGCAGCCGCGGUAAUACAUAGGUGGCAAGCGUUAUCCGGAUUUAUUGGGCGUAAAGGGUGCGUAGACGGUUUUGCAAGUCUGAGGUUAAAUUUAGGAGCUCAACUCCUAAUCGCCUUGGAAACUACAAGACUAGAGUAUAGGAGAGGUUAGUGGAAUUCCAUGUGUAGCGGUGGAAUGUGUAGAUAUAUGGAGGAAACACCAGUGGCGAAGGCGGCUAACUGGGCCUAUCACUGACGUUGAAG